UGGGGGAUAUUGCACAAUGGGCGCAAGCCUGAUGCAGCGACGCCGCGUGAGCGAAGAAGUGCCUCGGCAUGUAAAGCUCUGUCAGCAGGGAAGAAAGUGACGGUACCUGAGGAAGAAGCCCCGGCUAAAUACGUGCCAGCAGCCGCGGUAAUACGUAUGGGGCAAGCGUUAUCCGGAUUUACUGGGUGUAAAGGGAGCGUAGGCGGCAAGGCAAGUCUGAUGUGAAAGCCCGGGGCUCAACCGCGGGACUGCAUUGGAAACUGCCGGGCUGGAGUGCCGGAGGGGCAAGCGGAAUUCCUAGUGUAGCGGUGAAAUGCGUAGAUAUUAGGAGGAACACCAGUGGCGAAGGCGGCUUGCUGGACGGUGACUGACGCUGAGGCUCGAAAGCGUGGGGAGCAAACAGG
RNAcentral lists this ribosomal RNA (404 nucleotides) under uncultured bacterium. Its description in RNAcentral is "bacterial SSU rRNA". It matches the Rfam family "Bacterial small subunit ribosomal RNA", at positions 355 to 776 of the family's 1533-position model. The record is from RNAcentral.